CCCUUAGAUGUUCUGGGCCGCACGCGCGCUACACUGAUGAAGGCAACGAGUUUAUCAACCUGCACCGGAAGGUGUGGGUAAUCUUUUGAAACUUCAUCGUGCUGGGGAUAGAUCUUUGCAAUUUUCGAUCUUAAACGAGGAAUUCCUAGUAAGCGCAAGUCAUCAGCUUGCGUUGAUUACGUCCCUGCCCUUUGUACACACCGCCCGUCGCUACUACCGAUUGAAUGGUUUAGUGAGAUCCUCGGAUUGGCCAUCUCGGCGUGACUUCGGUUGUGCACGUGGUGGCCGAGAAGACGAUCAAACUUGAUCAUUUAGAGGAAGUAAAAGUCGUANCA
RNAcentral lists this ribosomal RNA (335 nucleotides) under uncultured eukaryote. Its description in RNAcentral is "partial 18S ribosomal RNA". It matches the Rfam family "Eukaryotic small subunit ribosomal RNA", at positions 1470 to 1796 of the family's 1831-position model. The record is from RNAcentral.